GACAAACGCUGGCGGCGCGCUUAACACAUGCAAGUCGAGCGAGAACCAGGGCUUCGGCCCUGGGGAAAGCGGCGAACGGGUGAGUAACACGUGAGUAACCUGUCCUCGGCACCGGGGAUAGCCCGGGGAAACCCGGAUUAAUACCGGAUGGCCUUUCGGGUCUUCGGACUCGUCAGAAAAGGGAGCUUCGGCCUCCGGCCGGGGAGGACUCGCGGCGGAUUAGCUUGUUGGUGAGGUAACGGCUCACCAAGGCGACGACCGUAGCUGGUCUGAGAGGACGAUCAGCCACACUGGGACUGAGACACGGCCCAGACUCCUACGGGAGGCAGCAGUGGGAAUCUUGCGCAAUGGGCGAAAGCCUGACGCAGCGACGCCGCGUGCGGGAAGAAGGCCUCGGUUGU
This 401-nucleotide ribosomal RNA is filed under the name uncultured bacterium. RNAcentral's name for it is "bacterial SSU rRNA". It matches the Rfam family "Bacterial small subunit ribosomal RNA", at positions 28 to 426 of the family's 1533-position model. The record is from RNAcentral.